AGACAGAGGGUGCGAGCGUUAAUCGGAAUUACUGGGCGUAAAGGGCGCGUAGGUGGAUUGUUAAGUCGUGUGUGAAAGCCCCGGGCUCAACCUGGGAAUCGCAUAGGAUACUGAUGAUCUAGAGUACUGUAGAGGGUAGUGGAAUUUCCGGUGUAGCGGUGAAAUGCGUAGAUAUCGGAAGGAGCACCAGUGGCGAAGGCGACUACCUGGACAGAUCCUGACACUGAGGUGCGAAAGCGUGGGGAGCAAACAGGAUUAGAAACCCUAGUAGUCC
This 274-nucleotide ribosomal RNA is filed under the name uncultured bacterium. Its description in RNAcentral is "partial 16S ribosomal RNA". It matches the Rfam family "Bacterial small subunit ribosomal RNA", at positions 523 to 796 of the family's 1533-position model. The record is from RNAcentral.